RNAcentral lists this transfer RNA (73 nucleotides) under Plutella xylostella (diamondback moth). Its description in RNAcentral is "tRNA-Ser". The record is from RNAcentral. Lineage: Eukaryota; Metazoa; Arthropoda; Insecta; Lepidoptera; Plutellidae.
GACCGAAUGGCGUAGUGGUUAGUGACCCUGACUACUGAGCGCAUGGUCCCGGGUUCGAUUCCCGGCUGGGGCA